Molecule: transfer RNA, 84 nt
Filed under: Actinomycetota bacterium
Lineage: Bacteria; Bacillati; Actinomycetota
Description: tRNA-Leu
Rfam family: tRNA
About the family: Transfer RNA (tRNA) molecules are approximately 80 nucleotides in length. Their secondary structure includes four short double-helical elements and three loops (D, anti-codon, and T loops). Further hydrogen bonds mediate the characteristic L-shaped molecular structure. tRNAs have two regions of fundamental functional importance: the anti-codon, which is responsible for specific mRNA codon recognition, and the 3' end, to which the tRNAs corresponding amino acid is attached (by aminoacyl-tRNA synthetases). tRNAs cope with the degeneracy of the genetic code in two manners: having more than one tRNA (with a specific anti-codon) for a particular amino acid; and 'wobble' base-pairing, i.e. permitting non-standard base-pairing at the 3rd anti-codon position.
Source: RNAcentral
GCCCGGGUGGCGGAACUGGUAGACGCGCGGCCCUCAAAAGGCCGUGGCCUUCGGGCCGUGUGGGUUCGAGCCCCACCCCGGGUA